GUCAGUAAAAUCAUAAAACCUGCAUACGAUGGGUGUGUGCAACCAAGUCAGUUAAAGCUGUUUCUUCAAAGAGAACUUCAAGUUGCUUAAUAAGGCUGUCCAAUAUCCACAGGAAAAUAGCUUCCCGAGGAAUGGGAAGCUGCAUGUUCAUAGUUUAUUACGAUUUUUCUAAAGAAACGGAAUCCAUUGUGAAGACAAUUGUAGUCUUUGGUUUUUAUUUUAAUUUUUUGUUUUUAUUUUGAAGUAUAAUUGACCUAUAGCAUUAUGUAGUUUCAGAUGUACAACAUAAUGAUUCGAUGUUUAUAUUACUGCAAAAUGACCACAAUAAGUCCAGUUAACAUCUGUCCCCAUAGGUAGGAAUAAAUUUUUUUUUUUUUCUUGAGAACUGCCCAGAUCCACGCACCUGGCUGCUUUUAAAUAUGCAAUUCAGCAUUGUUAAUGAUAGUUACCACGCUGUCCAUCACAUCCCCAUGAUUUAGUCAUUUUAUAAUUGGAAAUUUGUACCUUUUGGUCCCCUUCACCCAUUGCCCCCACCCCACCCUGGUGUUUAAAUGAUGAGCCGUGUAAGAGGGACACGCGUGGGGCAGUGACGAAGCGAGAAAUGGGGACGGCCUUCCUCUCAUGCGGGCAGCAUGUGGAUCCUGCGGGGCGCACAGACAGGUGUACACAGGUGUACAGUGGACCCGCCACUUCAGCAGGGAUUCGAGUUCAGUCCAGUGAGGACCCCGGAAAGCUAGGUAGGCACCCAGAUGGAUGUGGGGAAGGCCAGGUGAGGACCCCUUCAGGUAGCUAUGAACCGCGACGGUUUCUGUGAGGAGGUGGGUGCCGCGGGGGGCCGCAGACUUCAGGACGGGGUCUACUUCACGGAGUCAUUCCGUGACCAGGUCCGUUUGAAUCACAAUUGUGAUAUCUGUCUGCAGGAGGGUAAGCCCCCCAGGCGAUCCUGCUGUGCAGCCAGCUUUGAGGGUCUCUGUGUUGGAGGCCACAGGGCUGGAAGUCAGUUUCUACAGCAGCAUAGAACUGGGAAUGGGACCUGUGGACAGCUAAGAGCUACCCCACGGGCUUCGGAGUCCACAGGCCCCUUUGGGUAGAGAUGGUCCGUGAAAAUUAGUGAAAAACACUGGCUACCAUUUGUGGACCCUCCACUGGGUGCUUUGCAAACACAAUAAUCUUCCUCACCCUAACGGCAAGGUAAGUGUUUUCACCUGUUUACAUUUGUGGCCACUGAAGCUCAUAUUGGUAAAGAUGGGGCUCCAGGCACCCGAGCUACUUAAGAGGCUGAACGAGACCCCAAACAUGGGAUUGCCUGACUCCAAGGCUGGUGCUCUUCGCCCUGCCAUGGGGCCCCCAGCCACUAGUGACUACCUGGGUGGGCCUCUCUUUCCAAGCUUUUUCCCAGGCCAGGGGCCCUCGCCCUGCGCUAGGUAGGGGCCUGGCCCACUCACCCCUAAGGGGAGGUGGACCUGGACUCUUGUCAGGGUGAGCAGGGGCUGGAAGCUGAGCCCUGGGCGUCGGUGCUCACAAAGGCAUGCCCGGGGGCUCCCAUGUAGGUGCUGGUUCUCUCUGGGCCGUGAGAGUCAUUCAAGGAAUGUUUACUGAACUCGGGUGCUGCUGUGGGGUGCGAGAGAAACCGGUCCUUCCCCCAAGGUGCUGGCAGUCCACUCGGGAGCCACACAGAGGAGGACAUGCUGUUCCUGGGAGUGAAUGACAAAUCCGGUCUUAGCGGCUCAGGGAAGAAAGGAACAGAAUUGUGGGUGAGUGAAGAUGGAGGAGGAAGAUUCCAGGUGGAGAGUGACACACAGGGAGAGCUGCUGGCAGGGGCUGGGGGGCGGGGUCCGCCUUGGAUUCCCACUCUGUUGAGUAAUUUUGCAACAUUCUAAGAGCCCUGGGAAACCACUGAGGACCAGAUUGGUUCCUUCUUUUGCUUUCCUUUUAUGCAUAUUUGUAUAUUUUCUUAUGAGCGUGUAUGUUUUCACACUCAAAGAAAGCUUUUUAUUAAACAGUUAUAAUCUUUCUAUUUUGGAAUAGUUUAACCAUGUUGUACUGCCUAUGAAAAAUUGUUUAUUAAAAAGUGCCAAGAGUAGGUCGGGGUCAGAGAAAACAAAAGUAGCUAUGAAACAGGCAUUGUUGAAGCUGGGUACAGAAUGGUUCAUUGCAGUCAUCUUUAAAAAGCCUUGGUGUUCUCCAGUUUAAAAUGGGCAAGGAUUUUAGGGGAAUGGUGCACUCUGCAAACAUACUGUUUGAAAUAGUCCAAAAUGAAUAUAAACACCCCUUUCUUCACUAUCCUUUAAUGUAAACCACGGUUCUCACCUGUCAGCGACCCACUGAUGGAUACCUUGAUAAACUGAUUGGCUUUUACAGGCACAAGUAAUAGAUCUUCCCCUCACUUAAUCCAAAGUAGUAAUCCUGUUUGCUUAUGCACAUAAAUCAGAAGGCAAUUUGAAUCACGAAGGCCAUUUGAGUCACGUCGGAAGCAUUUCUGAGUUUGAAUUAAGAUGAACGUGACUCACACUACAUGAUUCACAAGGUGGGGGACGAAUUCUGAUGAUGGAGUUUGGAAAUGAAAAGCUGCCUGUCUCAGGGUGCUGGCGACCACGGUUCUGCUUCCUGUUUCUGUCAAUGUGGCUGCUCUCGGCACCUCAUGGACAGAAUCCAACACUCAACACCCCAAACCCUGCGCUCUGAAAAACAUGUAUUCAACCUGAAUUCUGAAAACCAUUACUCAGUUGCAUGGUAAAGGAGGAAGAUGGCC
Rhinolophus ferrumequinum (greater horseshoe bat) is the source of this 2752-nucleotide long non-coding RNA. RefSeq lists it as uncharacterized. The transcript has 4 exons. NCBI's taxonomy places the organism in Eukaryota, Metazoa, Chordata, Mammalia, Chiroptera, Rhinolophidae. The record is from RefSeq and is a predicted model, not a curated record.